AGUGAACGCUGGCGGUAGGCCUAACACAUGCAAGUCGAACGGCAGCACAGUAAGAGCUUGCUCUUACGGGUGGCGAGUGGCGGACGGGUGAGGAAUACAUCGGAAUCUACUUUUUCGUGGGGGAUAACGUAGGGAAACUUACGCUAAUACCGCAUACGACCUACGGGUGAAAGCAGGGGAUCUUCGGACCUUGCGCGAUUGAAUGAGCCGAUGUCGGAUUAGCUAGUUGGCGGGGUAAAGGCCCACCAAGGCGACGAUCCGUAGCUGGUCUGAGAGGAUGAUCAGCCACACUGGAACUGAGACACGGUCCAGACUCCUACGGGAGGCAGCAGUGGGGAAUAUUGGACAAUGGGCGCAAGCCUGAUCCAGCCAUACCGCGUGGGUGAAGAAGGCCCUCGGGUUGUAAAGCCCUUUUGUUGGGAAAGAAAAGCAGCAGGUUAAUACCCCGCUGUUCUGACGGUACCCAAAGAAUAAGCACCGGCUAACUGCGU
This 491-nucleotide ribosomal RNA is filed under the name uncultured bacterium. RNAcentral describes it as "partial 16S ribosomal RNA". It matches the Rfam family "Bacterial small subunit ribosomal RNA", at positions 29 to 506 of the family's 1533-position model. The record is from RNAcentral.